GCCGGGCGUGGUAGUGCACACCUGUAAUCCCAGCUACUUGGGAGGCUGGGGCAGGAGAAUCGCUUGAACCCAGGAGCCGGAGGUUGCAAUGAAUCAAGAUUGUGCCAUUGCACUCCAGCCUGGGCUACAGAGCGAGACUCUGUCUUAA
RNAcentral lists this non-coding RNA (148 nucleotides) under Homo sapiens (human). Lineage: Eukaryota; Metazoa; Chordata; Mammalia; Primates; Hominidae. The record is from Rfam by way of RNAcentral.